This 484-nucleotide ribosomal RNA is filed under the name uncultured bacterium. Its description in RNAcentral is "partial 16S ribosomal RNA". It matches the Rfam family "Bacterial small subunit ribosomal RNA", at positions 30 to 507 of the family's 1533-position model. The record is from RNAcentral.
AUUGAACGCUGGCGGCAGGCCUAACACAUGCAAGUCGAGCGGUAGAAGGGAGCUUGCUCCUGGCGUCUGCCGCGGGCGGGAGUGUAAUGCCGAAGAAUCUGCCUGCUAGGGGGGGAUAUCGUCCGGAAACGGGCGCUAAUACCACACGCGUCAUGGGGGAGAAAGGGGGGGCUCUUCGCACCUCGCGCUUUCAGCUGCGCCUAGGUCGGAUUAGCUAGUUGGUGGGGUAAAGGCCCACCAAGACGACGAUCCGUAGCUGGUCUGAGAGGAUGAUCAGCCACACUGGAACUGAGACACGGUCCAGACUCCUACGGGAGGCAGCAGUGGGGAAUAUUGGACAAUGGGCGAAAGCCUGAUCCAGCCAUGCCGCGUGUAUGAAGAAGGUCUUCGGAUUGUAAAGCGCUUUUAGUUGGGAGGAAGGGCAGUAAGUUAAUACCUUGCUGUAUUGACGGUACCGACAGAAUAAGCACCGGCUAACUUCGUG